This 253-nucleotide ribosomal RNA is filed under the name uncultured bacterium. Its description in RNAcentral is "partial 16S ribosomal RNA". It matches the Rfam family "Bacterial small subunit ribosomal RNA", at positions 524 to 776 of the family's 1533-position model. The record is from RNAcentral.
UACGUAGGGUGCGAGCGUUGUCCGGAAUUAUUGGGCGUAAAGGGCUCGUAGGCGGUCUGUUGCGUCAGGAGUGAAAACUCGGGGCUUAACCCCGAGCCUGCUUCUGAUACGGGCAGACUAGAGGUAUGCAGGGGAGAACGGAAUUCCUGGUGUAGCGGUGAAAUGCGCAGAUAUCAGGAGGAACACCAGUGGCGAAGGCGGCCAACUGGUCCGGUACUGACGCUGAGGUGCGAAAGCGUGGGGAGCAAACAGG